CUGGUUUGGCCAGCUCAACUGCACAGAGAUGGGUUCCUGUAAGAAAUAAUAGUAGCAAUUCCCACACAGGAAGUCUUUCAGGCCAGCUCAUAUCCUCUGGCCGAAGGUCUCUGAGAGAAGCCACCAGGUGUAAGGCAGAGAGAAGGGCAGAGCUAUAUUGUCAGAUCUUGGUAUAAUUCACCUUCCCUUGCUGCCCAGCCUUGAGGAGGAAGGCACCCAAGGACCAAAUCCACUCAGCAAUUACUUCUAUGAAAACUGUGUUAUCACAUCAUUUAACAGGAGACCUUCGUGCCAAGAAUGGACAUUCACUUGUUGUGAUUUGUGGAAGGGACUCAUACUUCAAGGAGACAGUUACCUGGAAUGACCACCAAAGCCCUCUCACAUUAUGGGAUGCUGGGGGUCUAAAUAAAGUGCCAAAUGAUGACUAUGCCCCUAAUCUAAGACCAUCCCUAAUUUUUCCAGUGUAAGAGGGUUUUGAGCCAUUGGAAGAGAUAAACUUUUAGGAAGGUAGAUGGAAUAAUUAAAUGUCUAUUUAUAUUUUUAUUAUACCUGACACAUAAGUCAUCACACUUACGUGUAUUGUAAAAUUAUCAUAUGUAAACUUAGAAAAGUUACGUUUUCUAUUCUUAUAUUUAAUGAAAUCACAUUCAAGUCUUUCACAUGCACUUUGACAUUUUUUUUAUUACAAUCCUUUUUGAACCAUAUAAUGUUGGAUUUAUUCGAGUGUUUAACUUUUAGAGCUGUGCACUUAUGACUAUGAAAAGCAACUCGAAGAUAGAACUUCAGGCAGAAAAAUACCUUUUUUAUUGUGAGUUUAAAACUUUCUAGCCCCUAACCUCUCUGGUUUCAUUAUAAGUGAUUUUUAAGAAAAUGCGUU
Molecule: long non-coding RNA, 877 nt
Filed under: Mustela putorius furo (domestic ferret)
Lineage: Eukaryota; Metazoa; Chordata; Mammalia; Carnivora; Mustelidae
Description: lncRNA (ENSMPUG00000027670.1)
Source: RNAcentral